RNAcentral lists this unclassified non-coding RNA (402 nucleotides) under soil metagenome. RNAcentral describes it as "partial contains 5.8S ribosomal RNA, internal transcribed spacer 2, and large subunit ribosomal RNA". The stretch from base 1 to 121 matches the Rfam family "5.8S ribosomal RNA", at positions 35 to 154 of the family's 154-position model. The record is from RNAcentral.
GAUGAAGAACGUAGCGAAAUGCGAUAAGUAAUGUGAAUUGCAGAAUUCAGUGAAUCAUCGAAUCUUUGAACGCACCUUGCACCCUUUGGCUAUUCCGAAGGGUAUGCCUGUUUGAGUAUCAUGAACACCUCAACUCUCAUGGUUUGCCAUGAUGAGCUUGGACUUUGGGGGUCUUGCUGGCCUGUGGUCAGCUCCUCUCCAAUGGAUUAGCUUGCCAGUGUUUGGUGGCAUCACAGGUGUGAUAACUAUCUACGCUUGUGGUUUUCCACCAGGUAACCUUCAGCAAUGGGGGUUCGCUGGGGCUCAUAAAUGUCUCUCCUCAGCGAGGACAGCUCUUUGAACGUUUGAUCUCAAAUCAGGUAGGACUACCCGCUGAACUUAAGCAUAUCAAUAAGCGGAGGA